RNAcentral lists this ribosomal RNA (513 nucleotides) under uncultured Alphaproteobacteria bacterium. RNAcentral's name for it is "bacterial SSU rRNA". It matches the Rfam family "Bacterial small subunit ribosomal RNA", at positions 21 to 546 of the family's 1533-position model. The record is from RNAcentral. Lineage: Bacteria; Pseudomonadati; Pseudomonadota; Alphaproteobacteria.
GGCUCAGAAUGAACGCUGGCGGCAUGACUAACACAUGCAAGUCGACGUGAUCGACUUCGGUUUGGGAAAGUUCCAGACGGGUGAGUAACGCUUGGGAACGUGCCCUUUGGUCUGGAAUAACUCAGGGAAACUUGAGCUAAUACCGGAUAAGCCCUUUACGGGGAAAGAUUUAUCGCCGAAGGAUCGGCCCGCGUCCGAUUAGCUAGUUGGUGUGGUAAUGGCGCACCAAGGCGACGAUCGGUAGCUGGUCUGAGAGGAUGAUCAGCCACACUGGGACUGAGACACGGCCCAGACUCCUACGGGAGGCAGCAGUGGGGAAUAUUGGACAAUGGGCGCAAGCCUGAUCCAGCCAUGCCGCGUGAGUAUGAAGGCCUUAGGGUUGUAAAGCUCUUUCACUCGCGACGAUAAUGACGGUAGCGAGAAUAGAAGCCCCGGCUAAUCGUGCCAGCAGCCGCGGUAAUACGAAUCACUAGUGAAUUCGCGGCCGCCUGCAGGUCGACCAUAUGGGAGAGC